Molecule: ribosomal RNA, 253 nt
Filed under: uncultured bacterium
Lineage: Bacteria
Description: partial 16S ribosomal RNA
Rfam family: Bacterial small subunit ribosomal RNA
Source: RNAcentral
UACGAGGGGGGCGAGCGUUGUUCGGAAUUAUUGGGCGUAAAGGGUGCGUAGGCGGUUUGAUAAGUCUGAUGUGAAAUCUAUGGGCUCAACCCAUAGUCUGCAUUAGAAACUGUCGGGCUUGAGUAUGGGAGAGGUGAGUGGAAUUUCCGGUGUAGCGGUGAAAUGCGUAGAUAUCGGAAGGAACACCUGUGGCGAAAGCGGCGACCUGGUCCUAUACUGACACUCAUACACGAAAGCGUGGGUAGCAAACAGG